ACAUCCUGCCCUGUCUGGCGCCCUGCCUGUGCAAACGGUUGGUGGCGGGCCCGCCCGAAAGCGCAGAGAGAGA
This is a small nucleolar RNA of Trypanosoma cruzi strain CL Brener, 73 nucleotides long. It matches the Rfam family "Trypanosomatid snoRNA TB11Cs4H1". The record is from Rfam. Lineage: Eukaryota; Euglenozoa; Kinetoplastea; Trypanosomatida; Trypanosomatidae.